RNAcentral lists this transfer RNA (69 nucleotides) under marine eukaryotic metagenome. It matches the Rfam family "tRNA". Rfam says of the family: Transfer RNA (tRNA) molecules are approximately 80 nucleotides in length. Their secondary structure includes four short double-helical elements and three loops (D, anti-codon, and T loops). The record is from RNAcentral.
GCGGCGUAGCUCAGUGGUUAGAGCGAUCGGAUCAUAACCGAUGGGUCGGGGGUUCAAAUCCCUCCGCCG